CUUGACCUCGCAGACAUCUUGUGAUUUUGGGAUGAGCUGUGAGAACAGAUAGCAUAAAGAGAAAAGAGUAGCCUGACCUUGGAAAAAGGCUCUAAUCUAGUGUCUUCAUAGAGAUGAGGAAGCAGCUUUGACAAGUGGAAGUUAAGCCCUGGAUGGUCCCGGACUAUCUAGCCAUUGCUUAAUCUUCUUAAUAUGGCAUUGUGUAAACAACAAAUAGCAGAAGUUUGUGGAUAUGAGUCAGCUGCCUCAGUCUUUAGUACUGGUUUUCCUGUCAAAAAGGGUCUCAGUGAUUGGAGAAACAACAAAAAAAAAACAACCAAAAAACAAACCAAAACAGAGGUAAAGUAAGUUCCCUGAAUUUUUAAUUUGGCUGAGAGAUCGACUACACUGUCAGCAAAUUCUACAAAGGGUUUUGUUUUUUUUGUAAGAGGGGGAGAAACGUAUUUCAGGAAAUAAAAUAAUUUGUGUUCCUUAAAACCUAUGCUUU
Molecule: long non-coding RNA, 487 nt
Filed under: Coturnix japonica (Japanese quail)
Lineage: Eukaryota; Metazoa; Chordata; Aves; Galliformes; Phasianidae
Description: lncRNA (ENSCJPG00005020955.1)
Source: RNAcentral